This is a non-coding RNA of Caenorhabditis elegans, 150 nucleotides long. NCBI's taxonomy places the organism in Eukaryota, Metazoa, Nematoda, Chromadorea, Rhabditida, Rhabditidae. The record is from Ensembl.
UCUUUUCUCGUCCUUCAUCUCUCCGCCGUCAUUCACCUAUUUCUCUCUUAUCCUGAGAUUAGACUUGAGCAUAACACCGCAGCAAUAAAACCACCGGAGAGUUUAAUUAGAAACCACAAUUCCUCCUCUUUUUCUCGGUUUUGUGCUUCU